UCAUUUAGAUAGCUAUCGGAACACGCGUGUGAAUAAAUUAUUUUUCAUUGUGCCUAUUUCCCAUACAUUUUUGAAGACUUUAUUAUAUGUGAAGUGCGGUUAAGUGUGGUGCUAUAUACAGGCUAUGAUAAUGAACAGUGGUUAUUUUAUUGAACUAUAUAAUGUGCUGUUUGCCAAAUAUUGAAAACACCGGUCGGGCCUAAGAAACUAUUCUUUCUUCUACAUACAAACAACGCAACAGGUUGAGGCGAGUGGCGCCCUCUUGAAGAUUUCUGAGAAUUACAGUAUAUAUACAAGUUAAAGCCAUGUGGGAAAUUUAUACUUAUAGUACUGUUAUAACAGACAGCGAUAACCUUUUCAUGGAAUAUGAAUCAUUAACAGUAUUUAUUAGACAGAGCAUUGCGGCCAGAUAUCUUUUGAACUUUUUCUUUCGCAUUUCGUUUGUUAUCAUCGUGGAGACCGCAGAUGGAGUAAGGCAUACGUAUAACCCAAGUGUACAACGUCAAUCAAUUUUGAGCCGUAUUCUGCGCGGAAGGCCGAUCUCAGUCAGAAUCCGUUGUUGCGUUCUAAGUAGGUUCUCAUUUCACUAAAUGAGAGAGUGAAUAACUGUGACAAAAUUUACUCCCAGACUAUUGACAAUUGUGCAAAAAAAAUCUAUUUUAGUCGCCGAGAGGUAGCUCUAUCUAGGGUCGCUCAUACUGCGCAUGUCAGCUUUGCUGUCAAGUUAGGCAGAAUUGAAAAAUACUCGUAACGGCGCAGGGAAGUCAAGAGCUGCAACUGGCAACUUGUCUUCAUGGGCAGACUUCAGUCCAGAUUUUAGUGGCCUAUCUAUUGCGCAUGCUCUAUAAUUUGGGCGUGGCUGUUCUACUGAUCUGGGCAACUGUUUGAAGGAGACAAAGGCAUUCAGCGUUUUACGCGUCCGGGCUUUCUUGCUACUUCUGCUGCCUGUGUGAUAUUCGUGGGGAAAAGAUCAACACAAGUAAUCGGUCCAUCAAAAAAAAUCAGGCUGUGGGCCCUCUCAUUGAACGGAUAAAUACCAAUUAAAAUCUUCACAAUGAAGAAGCAAGUCCUGAAAGUCAUCCAGAACAUAAAGAAAAAGGUGACGUGGAAGAUCACCCUUGCGACGUACACGCACAAUAAAUUCAGUCGUAAAGGCAAAGGAUUUUCCAAGCAUUUACCAGAAAAGAAAAAUCCUCACAACUAUACAAAGAUGGAUUAAGCUUUAACGAACUGUACAGGUGCACAAGAAACAAUAAAAUAUAAGCUUUAAACAACACCUCAUUUCUAUCUACAUUUGAUCUCUACUUCUUCUUCACGUUUCUAAAAAAGUAUACGGCUCUUGUAUACUUAAGGGAUCAUUUUCAUCAUAGAGAAUCCUGGUUUCUUUGUAUGAAAGACGGCAAAAUAUUAGAAAAAUACUUGGUGUUGGUAAAUACUGAAGACAUAGAUCGAACAGGCUCUCACUAAAUGUGGAUGGUCAAUACUCGAGUUGAAAUACAGCUAAACUGUGCAUCACCAGACUCCAAUCGGUGUCCGAUGUCAAGGACCAUGGUACUAAUUACGACUACAAAAUGAUUCACUUCUAUACGAAG
This 1592-nucleotide long non-coding RNA is filed under the name Zerene cesonia (dogface butterfly). RNAcentral's name for it is "uncharacterized LOC119835908". The record is from RNAcentral. Lineage: Eukaryota; Metazoa; Arthropoda; Insecta; Lepidoptera; Pieridae.